Molecule: long non-coding RNA, 35605 nt
Filed under: Solanum lycopersicum (tomato)
Lineage: Eukaryota; Viridiplantae; Streptophyta; Magnoliopsida; Solanales; Solanaceae
Description: long non-coding RNA (SLYC_LNC000587)
Source: RNAcentral
AAGCCAAAAUUCCCAAACAAUUCCCAGAUGCGCAGCCACGCGACCCCCUCCCCACGCUCUCUCCUCGCUCUCUCCCUUCCUCUUAUCCUCUCCCCGCGUCUCCCCCACGCUCGCUCUCUCCUUCCCCUCUCGACAAAAACCCAUAAUUCCCCAGAAAUCACGCGAAAAACAGAGAGACUCCAACAACCCCACGCUCUUCUCCUUCCAUCUUUCUCUUCGCGUGAACCAAACGGAAGCGCAGAGACCCAUACGCUGUCGAGUAGGUCUGCGAGGUGUCAAUUUCAUCCUCUCCAACACGCCUGUGCCAUGUGAAGUUUGACCGAAACGGGAUUUAGUUUCGAUUUCAAAAGGAGAAAAGGGGGGCUAUUUCUUCUCCUCUAUAAAUACCCCUUUUCUUCAUCAGAAAAGGGGUGAGAGAUUUUUUCAUCGAAAAAUUCGGAAAAGCAGAACUUGGAGCGCUGGGAAUUUUGGGAGUUGAAAGAAUGUUAGAUAUUUGAGAUUUUUGAAAAAGAAAAGAAAGACACAGAAAAGGGUUAGGGAUUUUGGUUGAGAAAAUUUUCGAAAAAAAAAGACUCUGCUUCUUCCGUCUCUUGUUAGGAAAUUUUGGGUUGGGAACGUUGUUUGAAAUUCUGGGUUUAUUCCAUUGUUUCUGAGAUAACCAAAAGAAGUUAGAAAAUUUGGUUAGAAAUUCUGGUUUAGGAAGACUUUGAAGAAGAUUUCUUCCUGUCCUGUUCGUGUAGCAAAACAGUCGGGAUUUUUCGGGAAUAGGACUCCAAUACGAAGAACAAACGAGAUAAACGUCUAGCCGUGGGUCGCGUGGGGAAGUCAUCGUCGUCUGCUCGCCGUCAUCCCUGUUCCGCUGCUCCGAGAAAGGUACAUGUCCCAUUUUUCUUUAUUAUUUUAAAUUUUCUUUAUGGAGUUGAGUCGUGGUUUGUGGUGCUGUCAACAUGAGGUAUCAUAUUUCGUUUGGUUGUUUAAGUCUGGAAUAUGUCUUACGUUGUGAUUCUGUCCCAAUGUGAUGGUUCGUCGACAUUGCUUCUCUGUUUGUCUUCACGAGUUAGUCAUGACUUUGUAUUUGUUUCGAGGAGCCUUCGCCGUAUGACAUGUGAUGUUUGUUAAUCGACUUGCUGGCCCUUUCUUAGUUUGUGGUCGAACAUGUUGAGAUACUCGAAAAUGUGAAUAUACAUGGUCGGUUGAGCUUGUCUUUGUGGUUUGUUAACACUGUCGCUGCUUUGCUUGCCAUUUAGAACUUUCAAUAUAUGCUAGCUUAAUCUCGUAGAACACUAUUUAUUCGUCACAUGAUUGGAAUGAGAUUGUUAAGACAUAUUGGCAAGAGCUUCUGUGAAAUGACUCAUUAAUCCGAGUAUCGAUGUCUAUUCGUUAAAGCAGGCUCUUGGAUUGUUUGUAUGCAUGUAUGUAUGUUUAGAGUGUAAUUUUCCCUUGUUGUCUCGUCCAAGCUUGCUCAUGAUGUCUAUCUCGCGGGAGUUGUAGUUGUAAGCUUCUUUUCAAUCGAACCUUCUUCAAGCUUUUGGUUCGAGUAUCGCUUUAAGAAUAUAUGAGGGUUGUUUAUUCUCUAUAAUGUAUUUAUCUCCCAAACUUGUUAUCUUGUUUAGAUAUCAUGUUUGUCAGGCGUCUUGCAUGAAAGUUUCGUUUUGUAUGCCGUAUGGGUGGUGUGGAUUUUGGAAAUCUGUGGUUUGAAAGGCCAUCUUUAUCUUGGUGGCCACUUGUGUUAGCUGUCCGAGGUCACAGCCAUGUAGUAGGUCGAUUGAAUGGUCCUUUCGCUUAGUGUGUUAGAUGUUUGGGUGAUAAGGUGAUCGGGAUCCUGUUUUAUUUGAUGAGGCUGUCCUCUUAUGAUUGGUUCAAGUUUGUUUCAAAUGUUUGAAGCGCAAAACGGCUAAUUGAUACUCAAUUUAUGAUGCAUCUCUAUUUGUAUUCGUUAUUUAUCCCAUGCUAAGUCCUUUCUUUAAAUAUAAAAUUUGGAAAUUACCAACAAUUUUGUGUGAAGGUUUCACUACACUUGGGGUUUCGCCGCACAGUUUAUGUAUCGUUAUGUAGUGUCAUUUAGGUUGACUGAUUUGCAUAUCUCUAAGUACCAUUAAGGUUGUUGGAUGUUGGCUUUGCUUCUCAUGAAGAUUUAAUUAGUAUUGCAUUAUAAAGAUAUCCUUGUUAUGCUUUAGAACCUUGCUUAUUCUAAUUGUAGUUUUAAAAAUGCCAAUCUUCAUUUUAUCGUUUUUUUUGUGACAUGUGAAAACUCCCCGUGAGUCCAUUAUGGGAAUCUUAUUAUCCUCCUCGCAUUUCGAGAGAGUCUUGAAGACUCUGAACUUUAUCGAGUCAAUUCAUCAAAACGAGCAAGUGUAGAAAGACAAGGGUCAUGGAGAUUGAAGACGAUGGACUAAAAGACUUUUCUUUCGUUUUAUUUUACUUUGCAUAUUUUGUAAUGGGCCUAAGCCCUCUUGUCGUUUUUUUGUUUUCUAUAUUAUGUUUGUAUGUUUAGAUUAGGACAGGUACAGAAAUGGGCUAAAAAACCCAAAGGCAGGUGGGUCCAACAUUCGGUCAAGGAUAACAGAACCCGGAGUUGGACCCAAAUCUCUCUCUCUCUAUCCUUCUCUUUACUAUUUGCUUAUCUUAUUUUGUUUUCAAUGCCGUUAGCUUAGGAUUAGGAAACUCCAAACCCUCAUCGAACGCCUGUUAUUUUAUCAAACCUAAAAAAUUUUAAAACUAACUUCUAAAUGAUAAAUUGUUUCAAAUUCGUAAGGCUUGUUUAGAUAAAACCUUGAGUAAGCUUAACUUUGAAAUGGUUUCGUAAACUGGCAAGAUAAACAAUAAAUAUUUCAAAAUUGGCUAAGUUUGGCUAAGUAAGUCAUGUUAAAAGUUCAAAUAAAUUUGCAAAGGUUAAAAAUAAAAAUAAUCAAAUAGUUAAUCAUUGGAAAACCGUAAGUUAACGGAGUGUUUUGGGUGCCUUACACCUUCCUAAGAUACUAAUAGGAAUCCCGAACCCUUAAAAUGUUUCAAAACAAUUUUUUCUGUUUAAGUUGUUUAGAAACGAAGUUUUCUUGAUUUUUCUUAAAAAUUAAGUGGCGACUCCUAAAAGUCUAAAAACAAACUCUUUUCGAAAAUCACCACCCUUUUUCGAUAAAACAGAAAUGGCGACUCCACUGGGGACUUGGAGGAUUCUAACCUUAAGAUUAACGUAUUUGAUUAUUUGUGAUUAACUGUUUAAAUGUUUAAAUUGUUUAGAUUUUUAAACUGCUGCAUACAUAGCAUACAUACUUCCGUCAAACGACACUUUUUUACAUUUCCACUAAAGGACGAUUAUGCGGGUUCGCAGUCGUUCGUUAACCAAAAAUCUUCUCGGGGCACCCUGACGAGUGUAGUUGAUUACUUGAUAGUCAACGAUCGUUAAUUGUUCCAGCCCAAGUAGUCCGCUUGGGUUACCCAUUCCACUCUAAAUACAACCCACUCUUAGUCAAACUAGGAUAGAGCGAAACCAAAUCCCGAAAAUAGCGCAUUGGCCUAAGAUGACCCGACACCCAAGGAGUGUCGGGCCCAUUAGAAAAGUCCACCUUGAGUCCAAAGAGCCUGCGGCUCGAUAGGACGCUCAUGUUUGUUGUUUAAAUUUGAAGGAUGUAUUGCGUGUUUAACGAGUUGUUGUAUCGGGGGGAUUGAAAAUUAACUAGUUGUAUGUUUUUGUAGAUGUCAAGUCAGUUCCUUCACUUCAAAAUGGUCACCCAGGCACCCGACAUUCUUCGAGUAUGGUGGGAAAAUCUUAAGGAGUGUCAGAAGAGAGAGAUCUCGAUUUACUUGGGUCACCUACCUUCGAUAAUGGACUUCAAGGUAUGGCCCACGUUUAUCGAAGUCAUCACCCGAUUCUGGGACGAUAAGAAGAUGGUCUUUCGAUUUGGAGAUGUCGAAAUAAAACCCACAUUAGAAGAGAUCAAAGAUUGCCUUGACUCGAUUGGGACGUGUGGCAAAAGGAAAAAGCGUCCCGAUCAUCACAUUCUCCUGCCAGAUAGGCCAACCGAGACUGAGCUAAGAGACAUAUUAUCCCUAGUGAAUGCGAAUUGGCUAGAGACUCACAACAUUCCACUGAUGAGGUUUUUCGAGAGGUGGGGGCACGACAAUUAUUUUAGAUUGUUCCCGGACGAAUUCCAUGAUCACAGUACUUGGAGGCAAACUCAAGCUAUCGCUUUCUCCGCAUGCCUCUUGGGAACUAUGGUGUUCCCUAAAGACGAAGGAAAAGAGAUCGACACCCGGGUAAUAAUGGUAGUGAAUGCCAUGUUCAGAGGAGUCGGUAGAAAAUCUGAAGAAAAGAAAUAUUGCUGUUUGGCCCCAGUCAUCCUGUCCGACAUUUACCGAUCUUUGAGCCUGUGCAAGAAUGGUUUUCCGUUUUUCCAAGGUUGCAACAUCUUACUUCAAUGGUGGUUGACGGAGCAUCUAUGCAAAAGAGACAACCCCCAGCUACAUGGUUUGGCCGAACCAAGUCAAACAAGUCCUCUCAAUAAUUACGAGUUCUACUUGAGUAUCCGUAAAUUUCCAAUUCACACCACCAGGGAUGCGUGGGCAAAGGUGUUUUACAAUUUGAAAGAAGGAGACAUACAAUGGGUAUUACCGAGCUUCAGGUCUCAGAUGAUAGCAGCCCAAGGGGCCAAAUUGCCAUUUUUAGUCCUUCCCGGCAUCAGAGGAUUGCGUCCUUACAACCCGACACGAGUAAUGCGGCAAUUUGGGAAAGUCCAAAUCAUACCCGCCCAAGGAGAUGCCAGCUCUUUCAUUGUUGAUUACAACGGGAAGGACAAAAUACCUUUCGCUAAAAUUAUCCUCCAGGAAUGGGCCGGACGUGUCAACAUGAAGUGGGAGGUCACCGAAGAUAGGUAUGGAGCUGGGUAUGUCGACGAAUAUAAGACAUGGUUGCAUAAUAAUUUGCAUGGUGUAGUGGAUCCGACACCACGCACAAGUCGGAAAAUCGAAGACGUGGAGACAAGGCUUCAGAUUCACGCGUACCAUUUUCAGCAAGAGUGGGACCGGAGGGAGCAGGAAUUCUAUAAGAAAGAACAGGAAUUUCAACAAAGGGAGCAAGCGUACCAACUCCGGGAAUUAGAAAAUCAGAGAGUUUUAGCCGUAAUGUCACAAGAAUUAGCUGACACAAGGACUUGUCUAAUGCGUUUGGACACUAUUUUGGACGAGCAGAUGAACACCUUACAAGCCGUACCAACAUCUUCCAAAGCUGCGUUCGCGGAGCCAUACGUGUUCACCAGCAAAUGCAUUAUCCGAGAAGAAGUGGAGAAGGCCAGAAGAGGAGCUGGAUCAUCGACCUUUUAACUCCCCUGCGUGGGAUUGAUUUUAUAUGUGUAUUUGCACUACAUCCCCUUCCCAAGAUAUAUCCCGUUUAAUUUUGAUUGUGUAAUGAACGCUAUGACAUCUAGUGAAAUUUGUUUCGGGGAUACAAUUACUUAUUUAAAUGGCGCAAUACAUCCUUCAGAUCGCUAGGCCUACCCUUGGCACAAAAGGGUCACAUGCAUGUUUAGGACACGAUAUAUUUGUUUAAAUGUUUAUAUGUUAUGUUGCUUUGAUUGAGGAUAUCGUAAACCCACUCCUAGCCAAAAUUCAAAAGAGUAUACAGAAGCCAACAUUACAAAUGUCCGACCAAAAUUCCCGAGUCCCAAGUUUCUCACACAAAAUCCAUACCAUAAAUCCUAAAUACCGCUCUAUCAUCUCAGGAAAGUCGAAUCACCGCUAUGGACAAAGGCAAGAACGUCCAGACGGAGCUCACUGAGGAGGAAUUGCAAAGAAAGAUCGAGCGAGUCACUCGAGAGAUUCAGAAGGUUAAGGAAGAAGGACUCAAAGUAGACGCGACCACGGCGAUCUACAAAGCUGCGGUCACAACAUUGGAUGAAGAUCUGGCGUCACAGAUAAAGAGAAAGAAGGAGGUUGAGAUGGAAACCGAAAGCCUAAGGAAAAGGUUGAACUUGCUUCGUUUGGAGAUACACGAAGGAAAGGCGAGAGAGGCGAAGAUAGAUAUCGAGACUGCUGUGUUGUUGGACAGAAGCACGGCGCUCGACGAGGAAUUGGCAACCCAUAGCGACCCAAAGGGCGGAAAAUACCUCGCCCGUGAUCAGGGAACAGGCAACAGUGGCCCCGGCCAUGAAGUGAUUGAGGAGGAUGAUGAAGAAGAAAUCGUCUACAAGCCUCCAUUUUCGACUGCAUGAAAGGAAAGGAAUGGCGCAGCCACAAGACAAGAAAUCUCCAAAUGUGGUCUUCUAGAAAUCUCAAUGUUGUUUUUCAAUUCCCUUGUAAUCACAACGAAAGAAUGAAUGGAAAAUUUUCAUCCUAAAAUCCGAACUACGUUGGGCCUGAAUUCUCCCCGUGAGAUACGUAGGCAGCCUUCCCGGCCCGGCCCCUAUCACAGAAAAUUUUCAUUCUCCUCCAUGUUUCGGAGAUACGAAGAUAAGAUCAACAGACGUCGCAAAGCAGCUGCAAGAAGACCAUAGCUCAACGUGAUUCAGAUUUCCCAAGAUAUCUCCAAACAAACAAAUUCCUGUUUGUUCAAAAUAUAUAUCCGUCCUUAUUCGUGGGUUAAGAUAUCCUCAAACAAAACGACUUGUGUGCUUAUCUGUUUUAUGUGCGAUAUUAUGCAUUUUGUACUCUGGAUAUGCACUAACAAAUUUGCCUUUGAGUUGUUUCUACCUCUCAGGUACCUUUUACUGAUCUGUGUCGAUAAAGCUGGCAGAUCAUUCUUACUUCACCAGGUCAAAAGGUCCUACAGAUUCCUUCCCUCGAUCAAAUUCAGACAAAGGAAAAAUAGUUAUGGGAGACAACAAUGACGAAGGGCGUCUUACAGACGUUGUGGUGGCUCAGCCCACUGUAGUGGAACAGAACGAAUUGAUCAUGCAACUGAUGCAACAGAUUGCUGAAAUGAAAGUUGAAAUGCAACGGAGACAGGAUGCGCCUCCACCUGGAUUUGGUACUAAUAUUGCUGAUGCAAGACCUCCGGUCUACUUCCUUUCAUCAAACAUAGAUCCAACUCAGAACCAGCCUUCUACACCUGUGCAUAAUCCGUCUGUGAUUGACCUCACAACCCAAAACCCUCAAUACGCUUCUGCAUCUUACCAAACUCCUUCACCUCUUCCAAAUAACCACCCUCAAAUACCACCCCAUCCUCAGAAUACUCAAACUGCCCCACCGCCACAAAAUCAAAACCAAACUCAAACUGCCUUCAAUACCCAAGCAUUUCAUCCGCAUUUGAGUCAGAACACCAAUCCUCAGGCCUACCCACAAAACUACCAGACCGUCCAAAACGUUCCAAGUCCCUCUAUAGCUCCACCCCUACCAAAAAGAGCCACCUUCCAAGUUCCCGUUCCUGCCGAGCACGAGGUGCACGGUUCUGAGUUGGAUCACUAUGAAGAACAGGAAAGAGAAUGGAAGGCGAAAGAAGAAGUGAAGAUCGAUAUAAAGGAAGAAAUCAAAAGGGCUAUGAAAGAGCUGCAGUGCAUCCCAGACGCCGUCGGACUUAGCUACGCAGAAUUGUGCAUCCAUCCAGAUUUGAACCUUCCCGAAGGUUUUAAAAUUCCGAAGUUUGACACCUUCGGAGGAGUGGGCAAUCCUAUGGCGCAUUUGAGAGCGUAUUGUGACCAGCUCGUGGGAGUUGGCAGGGAUGAGGCCUUGUUGAUGCGGCUUUUCAGCCGAAGUCUGUGUGGAGAGGCCCUCGAGUGGUUUACUUCACAUGAAACCAGGCAGUGGCCCAGUUGGAAUGCAUUGGCUAAGGACUUCAUUGACCGAUUCGCCUACAAUGUUGAAAUAGUGCCCGAUCGGUAUUCUCUAGAGAAGAUGAAGCAGAAACCAACUGAAAGCUAUAGGGAAUUUGCCUAUAGGUGGAGGAAAGAAGCGGCGAGGGUAAGGCCACCCAUGACCGAGAAAGAGAUUGUGGAAGUGUUCGUGCGGGUACAGGAGCCUGAGUACUAUGAUAGAAUCAUGUUGCUGGUCGGAGCUAAAUUCGCUGAGAUAGUCAAAGUCGGUGAGACUAUCAAAGAUGGUCUAAAAUCGGGGAAGAUAGCCCGUGUAUCUGCGUCGCCUGGGUCUUCAGGAUUGAUAAGAAAGCGAAGAGAGGAAGUUGCCGCUGUCUCGUAUGGGGGAAGAAAAACCCCUAAAAACCCGUCACAUUCCCAAGAUCGUUCCAGGCCUUCCCCAAAGUCUCACCGAUCCUACUACCCACAAUCCAAUCAUCCUAAUAACCACAAUACUAUCCCCACCUAUCAGAAUGCUCAAAUUUCGUCGUACUAAGGUCCACCCUCUAAUCUCCAAAAUUUUUCUCCCAUAUUCCCAAAUUACCCUCAACCAUACCAGAUCCCAUCCCCUUAUCAGAAUAUUGCUCCCAACUGUGCCAACGUACAGUCGAGCUACCGACCACCUCCGCCCACUUAUCAAGUCCAAGCUCCAUUAUACCAGGACCCCCUCCCGAAUUACCAAGCUCCAAUGCCAAAUUUCCAGGCAAACCCUUAUCCCCGGAGCCAAGCCCCUCGUACAAAUACCCAAAAUUAUCAGCGGGUGCCUCCCCCUCGGCAAAGCAAUUAUGAUACUUCCCGUCCGAGAUCUGAAAAAAGGCCUUCAAGGAACUUUACCAUACUUGCUGAAAGCCGGACCAAACUAUUUGAGAGGCUAGCCGCAGAUGGAUACAUCCACCCUGUGGGGCCCAAACCCGGGGAUGUCAACUCAAAGUUCUACAGGCCAGAUCAAAGGUGUGCUUAUCAUUCCAAUCGUGUUGGACAUGACACGGAAGAUUGCAUCAACCUUAAGCACAAAAUCCAAGACCUGAUCGAUCAGGAGGUAGUUUCUCUUCAACCGGCGGUGCCAAACGUCAACACAAAUCCGUUGCCGAAUCAUGGAGGUGACAACCUUAAUAUGAUUGAAACGGAUGAAGACGGGUGUGGAACAAAGAUGAUUACCCCUAUUAUGAAUGAGGACUUGGAAAGGGCUGUCGCUUCUUUAAGUGUCAAAGAGAGGAGGAAGUUUGUUAUUCUGACACCUGCAAAGGCUGUUGCCUUGGUGCCUUCGAAAACCCUCGUUAAGCCCAAAUUUGUCAUUGAAACUGCCGUGGCCCAAGGCAUGACCAGGUCCGGAAGGUGCUACACUCCUGAUGAGGUUUCUUCGGAGGACAGAAGAAGGACCAUGCUAAGAGGCCGAUAAGCGAGGGGGAAGCAGAAGAAUUCUGGAGAAGGAUGCAACCGAAGGACUAUUCCAUCGUCAAACAUUUAGAGAAGACUCCGGCUCAGAUCUCCGUGUGGGCCUUGCUGAUGAGCUCUCAGUCCCACAGGCAGGCCUUAAUGAAAGCUCUUGAUGAUACAUACGUACCCUCAGGUACAAGUAGUGAUAACGUGGCUUCUAUGAUUCAUCAAGUCAUUCGGGGGCACCGGAUCAGCUUUUGUGACGAUGAGUUGCCAGUCGAAGGAAGAUCCCACAACAAAGCGCUACACAUUACCGUGAUAUGUCGUGGAAAGGUUGUCAACUGUGUUUUGGUAGAUGAUGGGUCCGGUUUGAAUAUUUGCCCAUUGACGACGUUGAGGCAACUAAAUUUUGACCUUGGGAAACUGGAGCAGAAUCAGGUCAAUGUAAGGGCAUUUGAUGGUGUGCAAAGAGACACCUUGGGGGCUGUGACUUUGACCCUUCAAAUGGGCCCCGCAGAGUUCAGUGCGCAAUUCCAAGUAUUGGACAUAGACACUAGCUACAACCUUCUUUUGGGAAGGCCGUUUAUCCACAUGGCUGGAGCCGUCCCCUCUACUCUCCAUCAGAUGAUGAAGCUUGUGUGGAAAAAUGAAGAGUUAGUGAUUCACGGCGAGGGAAGUCGCUCGGGCAAGCAGGUGUCGGUCAUUGAUGAGAUGCCGCAAGGCACAGACUUUUACACGGUGGAGCUGGUGAAUGCCACCAACGAAGAUUUGGCCCUCAACUCCAUGCCAACCGUGUACAAAAUGAUAGCCACGGUGAUGUUGCAAAAUGGGUUCGAGCCAGGUUUCGGAUUGGGAAGAGAUUCCCAAGGAAUUAUUGAGCCUGUUCCGGUCCUUGCUCAGGGAUCAAAGUAUGGUUUGGGGUACAUCCCCACAGAUGAUGAUAUGAAGAUGAAGAGGAGAAGGGAUCAAGAGUUGACUAAGCCGAUCCCGCAUCUCUAUCACUCCUUUCCAAUUCGGGAGCAUGCCGAGCCUGAAGACGACGGGGAAGGAAUCUGUGACCUGUUCAAGGAGAUCAAUGCCGUCAUAGAGGAGGAGGCCGAGCCAGCUGGCUUUCGCGAUGCUGAACCGGGGGAGAUGCUGAAGAAUUGGACGUCCACACCAAUCCUGAUGUCCCGGACUUUUGGGUAGAAAGGAAUUAUUUUGUGCAUGCCAAAAUCGGUGGUCGUUCGGAAGAGGCCCGAGACCCACCAUUUCUGCAUUUUCUUGAUUUUGAAUUUUGUUAUGAUUGUUUAAAGGGCGACGUGGCCUUGUGCCAUGACCCAACUUUGCAUCUUGAUUCAAUUUAAAUGAAAGCCUCCUUAUUUUGACUUUGUUUAUUCGAUUGCUUGUUAUGUUUUACUUUUCUAAUUUUGUCUGUUUAUGAUUUCAGUAACGUAAGUUACAAACCUGCCAACGUCAUGUCAUGUCAUGAGCUAAACGAACAAAAUGAGGUAAAUGACGAUGAGGCUGACGACUACGAUGAAGAAAGUGGGGAACCAGACUAUGUAGUAGAAGAGUUUCGACAGUUCGAGAAUCAACAUAAACCGAAUCUGGAGGAAACAGAGACGGUAAAUUUGGGAGAUUCAGAAUGUGUCAAAGAGGUUAAGAUCAGCACUCACCUGAAUGAAACUCAGAAGGAGAGCCUGAUUCAUUUGCUUGCCGAAUACAGCGAUGUGUUUGUUUGGAAGGUCAGUGACAUGCAGGGGCUGAGUACCGAUGUCGUAUCUCAUAAGCUGCCUAUCAACCCAGGGUUCGAGCCAGUGAAGCAAAAGACUCGGAAAUUCAAGCCUGAGUUGAGUUUGAAGAUUAAGGAGGAAAUCACCAAGCAGAUAGAGUCCCGGUUGGUAGAAGUAACGCAAUAUCCCACCUGGUUGGCGAAUGUCGUUCCGGUCGCCAAGAAAGAUGGAAAAAUCAGGAUUUGCGUUGAUUACAGAGAUCUCAACAAGGCUAGUCCAAAGGAUAAUUUCCCGUUGCCAAAUAUCCAUAUUCUGAUUGAUAACUGUGCGAAACAUGAGAUGCAGUCAUUUGUGGAUUGUUACGCGGGUUAUCACCAGAUUCUGAUGGAUGAAGAAGACGCGGAGAAAACGGCCUUCAUCACACCUUGGGGGGUAUAUCACUACAGGGUGAUGCCGUUUGGGCUCAAAAACGCCGGUGCCACUUACAUGAGAGCCAUGACGACUAUCUUCCACGACAUGAUUCACAAGGAAAUUGAAGUGUACGUGGACGACGUCAUAAUUAAAUCCCGCGAGAGUUCGGAUCAUUUGACACACCUGCGAAAAUUCUUUGAACGUUUGCGUAGGUACAACUUGAAGCUAAAUCCCGCCAAGUGUGCUUUUGGAGUCCCAGCUGGGAAAUUGUUAGGGUUUAUAGUCAGCAGAAGAGGUAUUGAGCUCGACCCUUCCAAGAUCAAAGCAAUUCAGGAGUUACCUCCGCCGAAGACGAGAAAAGAGGUGAUGAGCUUCUUAGGGAGGUUAAACUAUAUCAGCCGUUUUAUAGCACAAUCGACGGUGGUAUGUGAGCCUAUCUUCAAGUUGCUGAAGAAAGAUGCCCCAACUAAGUGGACUGAGGAGUGCCAGACCGCUUUCGACGCUAUCAAGAGCUACUUGUCUAACCCACCAGUAUUGGUUCCUCCGCGAGAAGGGAGUCCUUUGUUGCUAUAUUUGUCUGUCUCGGAUAACGCUUUUGGAUGUGUACUUGGUCAACACGACGAGACAGGGAAGAAGGAAAAGGCUAUCUACUACAUCAGCAAGAAGUUUACUCCGUACGAGUCUCGUUACACUUUGCUGGAAAGAACAUGCUGUGCUCUGACAUGGCUUGCCCAGAAGCUGAGGCACUAUUGUCGUCGUAUACUACAUAUCUUAUCUCCAGAAUGGAUCCAUUGAAGUAUAUUUUCCGGAAAGCGAUGCCGACCGGGAAGCUGGCUAAAUGGCAAAUGCUGUUGAGUGAGUUUGACAUCGUGUACGUGACUCAGAAGGCAAUAAAAGCACAAGCUUUGGCUGAUCAUCUUGCGGAAAAUCCCGUUGAUGAAGAGUAUGAACCUCUCAAGACAUAUUUUCACGAUGAAGAAGUGUCAUUUGUGGGUGAAGAUAUCUCUGAAGUUUAUCCAGGUUGGAGAUUAUUCUUUGAUGGAGCGGUGAAUCACCAGGGUAAAGGUGUUGGAGCAGUCUUGGUAUCAGAAUCUGGUCAGCACUAUCCUAUGGCGGCUAAGCUACGGUUCAACUGCACAAACAACAUGGCUGAGUAUGAAGCUUGCAUUCUCGGUUUGAAAAUGGCCGUUGACAUGAAUGUUUACGAGUUACUGGUUAUUGGAGAUUCAGACCUCUUGAUCCAUCAAGUUCAAGGAGAAUGGGCUGUGAAGAACCCAAAGAUUGUACCUUAUGUACAAUAUGUGCAAAACCUGUGUAAAAGGUUUCGCAAGAUCGAGUUCAGACAUACUCCCCGAAUACAGAAUGAAUUAGCUGAUGCUCUUGCCACCAUCGCUUCAAUGAUCAAACAUCCGGAUAUUGAUUACAUCGACCCGCUGGAUAUAGAUUUGAAGGAGCAUCCAGUCCAUUGUUCACACGUGGAAUCAGAACCAGAUGGUUUGCCUUGGUAUUUCGACAUAAAGAGGUACUUGGAGUCUGGGACAUAUCCAGAAGACGCCACAUCUAAUCAAAAGAAGUCGAUACGUCGUAUGGCUCUCAAUUUCUUUUUGAAUGGAGAAGUCCUUUACAGGAGGACUCCAGAUUUGGGUCUUUUGAGAUGCGUGGAUGCUGCUGAAGCCGUGAGGCUUAUUGAACAGAUACAUGCUGGAGUCUGUGGCACACAUAUGAACGGGCUUACCUUGGCAAGAAAAGUCCUUCGAGCCGGUUACUUCUGGAUGACUAUGGAGAACGACUGUUGCAAAUUCGUGCAAAAAUGCCAUAAAUGUCAAGUGCACGGAGAUUUGAUAAGGGUGCCACCUCACGAACUCAAUGCUAUGAGCUCACCUUGGCCAUUUGUAGCUUGGGGAAUGGAUGUCAUCGGCCCUAUAGAACCGGCGCUUCCAAUGGACACAGAUUUUAUUUUGGUUGCCAUCGAUUAUUUCACCAAAUGGGUGGAAGCAGCCUCUUACAAAUCGGUAACCAAGAAAGUGGUGGCCGACUUUGUCCGCAACAAUCUGAUCUGCCGAUUUGGAGUUCCAGAAUCCAUCAUCACUGAUAACGGUGCAAAUCUCAACAGUCAUCUGAUGAAAGAGAUAUGUGAACAAUUUAAGAUUAUUCACCGAAGGUCAACUGCUUAUCGCCCUCAAAUGAACGGAGCUGUAGAGGCCGCCAACAAGAACAUCAAGAAGAUUCUGGGGAAAAUGAUUGACAAGCAGCGGGGUUGGCAUGAAAUGUUGCCAUAUGCUCUACUGGGUUAUCGAACGACGGUCAGAACAUCAACUGGGGCUACUCCAUACUUGCUAGUAUACGGAACAGAAGCAGUCGUACCUGUCGAAGUCGAGAUACCGUCACUGAGGAUCAUCCAAGAAGCUGAGCUAAGUAAUGCUGAGUGGGUUAGCAAACGGAUUGAUCAACUAGCCUUGAUUGAUGAAAAGAGGAUGGUUGCCGUUUGCCAUGGCCAGUUGUAUAGACAAAGAAUGACUCGCGCUUUUCACAAAAGAGUAAGAGCCAGAAAUUUUGAAAGUUGGUCAGUUGGUUCUUAAGCGUAUUUUUCCUCAUCAAGACGAGUACAAAGGAAAGUUCGCACCAAACUGGCAAGGUCCUUACAUGGUCCGCAAAGUACUAUCUGGAGGUGCUUUAGUCUUGUCAGAGAUGGAUGGCGCUGUAUGGCCCAAACCUAUCAACUCAGAUGCUGUCAAGAGAUAUUACGUGUGAAGUUCGUUUUGCAUUUCCCACCAUUUACUUGUAAUCUUCUGUUUGCUUGUAUUGGUUCGAAUUUGAAUUCUUAUCCCUCUUGUAACGAACUACGUCUGACCUGAAUUCUCGAGAAUGAGAUACGUAGGCGGCCUAUGUCGGCUUCGGUCACCCCAUUUAUUCCCCUUGAUUAUUCCUUACGUUAGAACUACGUUUGACCUGAUUCCUGCCUCAACGGGAUACGUAGGCGCCACAACGGCUCGGUCAUAUACCCAGAAGAUUUCCAUUUCUCUCCAUAAUGGAAACUGGGACAGAAUUUUUGAGAGGAUCUCAAAAUUUCAUUUGAAGUAAGACUUCUUUAACAAGUCAAAACAGAAGACCAAAUUCUACGACCUGAACUACGUUCGACCUGAAUUCUCAAGAAUGAGAUACGUAGGCGGCCUUUGUCGGCUUCGGUCGGUUUCUUUGUAAAUUUUAUUCUUGUUAACCUUUAAAGGGGAACUACGUUUGACCUGAUUCCUGCCUCAACGGGAUACGUAGGCGCCACAAGGGCUCGGUCAUAUAUCUCGUAAAUUCUAUUCCCCCCUUUCUACAAUAGAAACUGGGACAGAAUUUUGAGAGGGACUCAAAAAUUCUCCAGAAGGAACCUUCUCUUCAGCGGAUCAAACUAAAGACAUUUCGAAUUUGCGACUGGGACAGAAUUUUUUAGAAGAUCUCAAAAUUCCGAGAUCUGUUCGGUUACAAUGGAAAGAUGAACAAGAUACUAAACUGGGACAGAAAUUUUGAGGAUGGCCUCAAAAUUUUCGUCAUGGGACUUCCCCACAAGUCUGGAAUGCCUCUGAAAUUCAUUCGACAAGCGUCGGACUCAAAGAAGCUCGUUAAGCCUGACAUGACAUGACUUGGCAUUGACUUUUUCGAGAUACUAUUUCUUAAAAAAUUUCUUGCUUCUCUUAAAAAUUUCCCUUUUAUAUUUCAUCUGUUUUGGCAUAAGAUAUUUUCUUAUCUAUCAAGAGUCGAGAAAUCGGGAAAUCAACCGAGGACGUCAAGACAAGGAGCAAACAAUCGGGAUCGACACAGAUCAGUAUGUUUAAAACUGACAAUUUUUCUGUGGAUGCAGGUUUAUAGCUUCACUUCGAAAUCGGCCGAAUUCUUCCGACUGAUGAAUACGGAGAAGGCGAAAACUAUUUCCAAAGCCGGUGAUUUUAUUGAAAGCAAGAAGCAUUUCAUAUCUUUAUGCCAAGAUGCUUGUGAAUGUGUUUGUUUAUUUCAAGCCUUCCCCAAUACAUGAAAUUUACAAAGUGCCUGGCCAGAUUCAAAGGUGGAUCAAAAAGGAAUCUUAGCGAAGAUUUCACGAUUUCUAUAGAAGACGCUAUUUGCAUCGCGUUAUCAAAGCAAGAUGAUUAUUGUCGAUCAAGACAAUGCAUUACCUCAGAAGAGACAGCUAUGCAAUUAUUAUUUUUAUCAUUAUCGAUCAAGUCGAUAUAUUAUUUGGAGGUCGUCUUGCCGUUAUUAUUCACGGGGGCAAUAUAAAUAAUCAUGCAUGACGAGAAGAUUUCAUGCCUCGUCGAAAUUUAUACAUCGCGAGAAGAAUUUAUGCCUCGCUGGAAUUCAUGCAUCGCGGAGUCAUGCAUCGCGAAAAUCAUGCAUCGCGAGUCAAUAAUCAUGCAUGACGAGAAGAUUUCAUGCCUCGUCGAAAUUUAUACAUCGCGAGAAGAAUUUAUGCCUCGCUGGAAUUUCAUGCAUCGCGGAAUCAUGCAUCGCGGGAAUCAUGCAUCGCGAGUCAAUAAUCAUGCAUGACGAGAAGAUUUCAUGCCUCGUCAAAAUUUAUACAUCGCGAGAAGAAUUUAUGCCUCGCUGGAAUUCAUGCAUCGCGGAAUCAUGCAUCGCGGAAAUCAUGCAUCGCGAGUCAAUAAUCAUGCAUGACGAGAAGAUUUCAUGCCUCGUCAAAAUUUAUACAUCGCGAGAAGAAUUUAUGCCUCGCUGGAAUUCAUGCAUCGCGGAAUCAUGCAUCGCGAGUCAAUAAUCAUGCAUGACGAGAAGAUUUCAUGCCUCGUCAAAAUUUAUACAUCGCGAGAAGAAUUUAUGCCUCGCUGGAAUUCAUGCAUCGCGGAAUCAUGCAUCGCGAGUCAUAAUCAUGCAUGACGAGAAGAUUUCAUGCCUCGUCAAAAUUUAUACAUCGCGAGAAGAAUUUAUGCCUCGCUGGAAUUCAUGCAUCGCGGAAUCAUGCAUCGCGAGUCAAUAAUCAUGCAUGACGAGAAGAUUUCAUGCCUCGUCAAAAUUUAUACACAUCGCGAGAAGAAUUUAUGCCUCGCUGGAAUCAUGCAUCGCGGAAUCAUCAUCGCGGAAAUCAUGCAUCGCGAUCAAUAAUUAUGCACGACGAGAAGAUUUCAUGCCUCGUCAAAAUUUAUGCACGACGAGAAGAAUUCAAUUCAUGCCUCGUCAAGUUUUGCACAUCGCAAGAAGAUUUUAUUCUUCGCUGAAAGUUAUGCAUCGCGAGAAGAUUCAUAUCUCGCGAGAAUUUACGUAUCGCGGGAAGAUAUUCAUGCCCCGCAAGAAGACGUACUUGGAUAAAGAAAGAGCAAUACUUAUCCAUUGGCCUCGACUGCAUUAUGUUAUUUCUUAUAAAAAAAAUAAACAUCAUGGAGAGCAUCGAAGAUGACAACAAAAGAAACAUCAAUAUCGCAUCAGCAUUUAUUUAUUUAUUUUGACAGCAAGUAUGGAAUACACUGAAGAUGAUAUUGCAAAACACAAGGCAUAAGCUUUAUUUGCUGGACGUCAGACCGAUCGAGUCGACGUCGAACAUGGAGGAGAACAAUGAAGUGUCGACAUGGUAAAAGACACUGUCUCCCAUCCUAAUUGCAUUUUUAAGCUGACGAGUUUUAUCUCAGUCUUUGUCGAGCAUCCAAAAGGAUGAUUCUCCAAAAACCACAGGUGCGGACGACAUCAAAAAGGAUGCAGCAAAACGUGGAACUUUUUCUUAGCAGCGAACUGGGACCAGUCCAAAGAGGAGUGUCAAACUCUUAGGACGCGAGCAGAGGAGCGACUUCCACCACAAUCGAACCACCCUCUCGAGGCAUACGAGUUUUCUCUCUAGUUCUGUCAGUUUCCGUCUCGCUUCCGAAAGUUUUGUUUUAUCGGAAGCAAGUUUCCAAUCUGAGUGACAAUACGCCAAAAGAUUUGGAAAUAAUGUCCGUGUAAGUUCUUAAUUAUGAUGUGAAGCGCGCCACAUUCAUGCUAAGAGGUUACAAGCCUCUUUUUUCAUACUCGUUUAAUGUGUCACUCGUCCAAAACCGAAGGUUNNNNNNNNNNNNNNNNNNNNNNNNNNNNNNNNNNNNNNNNNNNNNNNNNNNNNNNNNNNNNNNNNNNNNNNNNNNNNNNNNNNNNNNNNNNNNNNNNNNNACUGGGGACUUGGAGGAUUCUAACCUUAAGAUUAACGUAUUUGAUUAUUUGUGAUUAACUGUUUAAAUGUUUAAAUUGUUUAGAUUUUUAAACUGCUGCAUACAUAGCAUACAUACUUCCGUCAAACGACACUUUUUUACAUUUCCACUAAAGGACGAUUAUGCGGGUUCGCAGUCGUUCGUUAACCAAAAAUCUUCUCGGGGCACCCUGACGAGUGUAGUUGAUUACUUGAUAGUCAACGAUCGUUAAUUGUUCCAGCCCAAGUAGUCCGCUUGGGUUACCCAUUCCACUCUAAAUACAACCCACUCUUAGUCAAACUAGGAUAGAGCGAAACCAAAUCCCGAAAAUAGCGCAUUGGCCUAAGAUGACCCGACACCCAAGGAGUGUCGGGCCCAUUAGAAAAGUCCACCUUGAGUCCAAAGAGCCUGCGGCUCGAUAGGACGCUCAUGUUUGUUGUUUAAAUUUGAAGGAUGUAUUGCGUGUUUAACGAGUUGUUGUAUCGGGGGAUUGAAAAUUAACUAGUUGUAUGUUUUUGUAGAUGUCAAGUCAGUUCCUUCACUUCAAAAUGGUCACCCAGGCACCCGACAUUCUUCGAGUAUGGUGGGAAAAUCUUAAGGAGUGUCAGAAGAGAGAGAUCUCGAUUUACUUGGGUCACCUACCUUCGAUAAUGGACUUCAAGGUAUGGCCCACGUUUAUCGAAGUCAUCACCCGAUUCUGGGACGAUAAGAAGAUGGUCUUUCGAUUUGGAGAUGUCGAAAUAAAACCCACAUUAGAAGAGAUCAAAGAUUGCCUUGACUCGAUUGGGACGUGUGGCAAAAGGAAAAAGCGUCCCGAUCAUCACAUUCUCCUGCCAGAUAGGCCAACCGAGACUGAGCUAAGAGACAUAUUAUCCCUAGUGAAUGCGAAUUGGCUAGAGACUCACAACAUUCCACUGAUGAGGUUUUUCGAGAGGUGGGGGCACGACAAUUAUUUUAGAUUGUUCCCGGACGAAUUCAUGAUCACAGUACUUGGAGGCAAACUCAAGCUAUCGCUUUCUCCGCAUGCCUCUUGGGAACUAUGGUGUUCCCUAAAGACGAAGGAAAAGAGAUCGACACCCGGGUAAUAAUGGUAGUGAAUGCCAUGUUCAGAGGAGUCGGUAGAAAAUCUGAAGAAAAGAAAUAUUGCUGUUUGGCCCCAGUCAUCCUGUCCGACAUUUACCGAUCUUUGAGCCUGUGCAAGAAUGGUUUUCCGUUUUUCCAAGGUUGCAACAUCUUACUUCAAUGGUGGUUGACGGAGCAUCUAUGCAAAAGAGACAACCCCCAGCUACAUGGUUUGGCCGAACCAAGUCAAACAAGUCCUCUCAAUAAUUACGAGUUCUACUUGAGUAUCCGUAAAUUUCCAAUUCACACCACCAGGGAUGCGUGGGCAAAGGUGUUUUACAAUUUGAAAGAAGGAGACAUACAAUGGGUAUUACCGAGCUUCAGGUCUCAGAUGAUAGCAGCCCAAGGGGCCAAAUUGCCAUUUUUAGUCCUUCCCGGCAUCAGAGGAUUGCGUCCUUACAACCCGACACGAGUAAUGCGGCAAUUUGGGAAAGUCCAAAUCAUACCCGCCCAAGGAGAUGCCAGCUCUUUCAUUGUUGAUUACAACGGGAAGGACAAAAUACCUUUCGCUAAAAUUAUCCUCCAGGAAUGGGCCGGACGUGUCAACAUGAAGUGGGAGGUCACCGAAGAUAGGUAUGGAGCUGGGUAUGUCGACGAAUAUAAGACAUGGUUGCAUAAUAAUUUGCAUGGUGUAGUGGAUCCGACACCACGCACGAGUCGGAAAAUCGAAGACGUGGAGACAAGGCUUCAGAUUCACGCGUACCAUUUUCAGCAAGAGUGGGACCGAGGGGAGCAGGAAUUCUAUAAGAAAGAACAGGAAUUUCAACAAAGGGAGCAAGCGUACCAACUCCGGGAAUUAGAAAAUCAGAGAGUUUUAGCCGUAAUGUCACAAGAAUUAGCUGACACAAGGACUUGUCUAAUGCGUUUGGACACUAUUUUGGACGAGCAGAUGAACACCUUACAAGCCGUACCAACAUCUUCCAAAGCUGCGUUCGCUGAGCCAUACGUGUUCACCAGCAAAUGCAUUAUCCGAGAAGAAGUGGAGAAGGCCAGAAGAGGAGCUGGAUCAUCGACCUUUUAACUCCCCUGCGUGGGAUUGAUUUUAUAUGUGUAUUUGCACUACAUCCCCUUCCCAAGAUAUAUCCCGUUUAAUUUUGAUUGUGUAAUGAACGCUAUGACAUCUAGUGAAAUUUGUUUCGGGGAUACAAUUACUUAUUUAAAUGGCGCAAUACAUCCUUCAGAUCGCUAGGCCUACCCUUGGCACAAAAGGGUCACAUGCAUGUUUAGGACACGAUAUAUUUGUUUAAAUGUUUAUGUUUAUGUUGCUUUGAUUGAGGAUAUCGUAAACCCACUCCUAGCCAAAAUUCAAAAGAGUAUACAGAAGCCAACAUUACAAAUGUCCGACCAAAAUUCCCGAGUCUCAAGUUUCUCACACAAAAUCCAUACCAUAAAUCCUAAAUACCGCUCUAUCAUCUCAGGAAAGUCGAAUCACCGCUAUGGACAAAGGCAAGAACGUCCAGACGGAGCUCACUGAGGAGGAAUUGCAAAGAAAGAUCGAGCGAGUCACUCGAGAGAUUCAGAAGGUUAAGGAAGAAGGACUCAAAGUAGACGCGACCACGGCGAUCUACAAAGCUGCGGUCACAACCUUGGAUGAAGAUCUGGCGUCACAGAUAAAGAGAAAGAAGGAGGUUGAGAUGGAAACCGAAAGCCUAAGGAAAAGGUUGAACUUGCUUCGUUUGGAGAUACACGAAGGAAAGGCGAGAGAGGCGAAGAUAGAUAUCGAGACUGCUGUGUUGUUGGACAGAAGCGCGGCGCUCGACGAGGAAUUGGCGACCCAUAGCGACCCAAAGGGCGGAAAAUACCUCGCCCGUGAUCAGGGAGCAGAUAACAGUGGCCCCGGCCGUGAAGUGAUUGAGGAGGAUGAUGAAGAAGAAGAAAUCGUCUACAAGCCUCCAUUUUCGACUGUCUGAAAGGAAAGGAAUGACGCAGCCACAAGACAAGAAAUCUCCAAAUGUGGUCUUCUAGAAAUCUCAAUGUUGUUUUUCAAUUCCCUUGUAAUCACAACGAAAGAAUGAAUGGAAAAUUUUCAUCCUAAAAUCCGAACUACGUUGGGCCUGAAUUCUCCCCGUGAGAUACGUAGGCAGCCUUCCCGGCCCGGCCCCUAUCACAGAAAAUUUUCAUUCUCCUCCAUGUUUCGGAGAUACGAAGAUAAGAUCAACAGACGUCGCAAAGCAGCUGCAAGAAGACCAUAGCUCAACGUGAUUCAGAUUUCCCAAGAUAGCUCCAAACAAACAAAUUCCUGUUUGUUCAAAAUAUAUAUCCGUCCUUAUUCGUGGGUUAAGAUAUCCUCAAACAAAACGACUUGUGUGUUUAUCUGUUUUAUGUGCGAUAUUAUGCAUUUUGUACUCUGGAUAUGCACUAACAAAUUUGCCUUUGAGUUGUUUUUACCUCUCAGGUACCUUUUACUGAUCUGUGUCGAUAAAGCUGGCAGAUCAUCCUUACUUCACCAGGUCAAAAGGUCCUACAGAUUCCUUCCCUCGAUCAAAUUCAGACAAAGGAAAAACAGUUAUGGGAGACAACAAUGACGAAGGGCGUCUUACUGACGUUGUGGUGGCUCAGCCCACUGUAGUGGAACAGAACGAAUUGAUCAUGCAACUGAUGCAACAGAUUGCUGAAAUGAAAGUUGAAAUGCAACGGAGACAGGAUGCGCCUCCACCUGGAUUUGGUACUAAUAUUGCUGAUGCAAGACCUCCGGUCUACUUCCCUUCAUCAAACAUAGAUCCAACUCAGAACCAGCCUUCUACACCUGUGCAUAAUCCGUCUGUGAUUGACCUCACAACCCAAAACCCUCAAUACGCUUCUGCAUCUUACCAAACUCCUUCACCUCUUCCAAAUAACCACCCUCAAAUACCACCCCAUCCUCAGAAUACUCAAACUGCCCCACCGCCACAAAAUCAAAACCAAACUCAAACUGCCUUCAAUACCCAAGCAUUUCAUCCGCAUUUGAGUCAGAACACCAAUCCUCAGGCCUACCCACAAAACUACCAGACCGCCCAAAACGUUCCAAGUCCCUCUAUAGCUCCACCCCUACCAAAAAGAGCCACCUUCCAAGUUCCCGUUCCUGCCGAGCACGAGGUGCACGGUUCUGAGUUGGAUCACUAUGAAGAACAGAAAGAGAAUGGAAGGCGAAAGAAAGAAGAAGUGAAGAUCGAUAUAAAGGAAGAAAUCAAAAGGGCUAUGAAAGAGCUGCAGUGCAUCCCAGACGCCGUCGGACUUAGCUACGCAGAAUUGUGCAUCCAUCCAGAUUUGAACCUUCCCGAAGGUUUUAAAAUUCCGAAGUUUGACACCUUCGGAGGAGUGGGCAAUCCUAUGGCGCAUUUGAGAGCGUAUUGUGACCAGCUCGUGGGAGUUGGCAGGGAUGAGGCCUUGUUGAUGCGGCUUUUCAGCCGAAGUCUGUGUGGAGAGGCCCUCGAGUGGUUUACUUCACAUGAAACCAGGCAGUGGCCCAGUUGGAAUGCAUUGGCUAAGGACUUCAUUGACCGAUUCGCCUACAAUGUUGAAAUAGUGCCCGAUCGGUAUUCUCUAGAGAAGAUGAAGCAGAAACCAACUGAAAGCUAUAGGGAAUUUGCCUAUAGGUGGAGGAAAGAAGCGGCGAGGGUAAGGCCACCCAUGACCGAGAAAGAGAUUGUGGAAGUGUUCGUGCGGGUACAGGAGCCUGAGUACUAUGAUCGAAUCAUGUUGCUGGUCGGAGCUAAAUUCGCUGAGAUAGUCAAAGUUGGUGAGACUAUCGAAGAUGGUCUAAAAUCGGGGAAGAUAGCCCGUGUAUCUGCGUCGCCUGGGUCUUCAGGAUUGAUAAGAAAGCGAAGAGAGGAAGUUGCCGCUGUCUCGUAUGGGGGAAGAAAAACCCCUAAAAACCCGUCACAUUCCCAAGAUCGUUCCAGGCCUUCCCCAAAGUCUCACCGAUCCUACUACCCACAAUCCAAUCAUCCUAAUAACCACAAUACUGUCCCCACCUAUCAGAAUGCUCAAAUUUCGUCGUACCAAGGUCCACCCUCUAAUCUCCAAAAUUUUUCUCCCAUAUUCCCAAAUUACCCUCAACCAUACCAGAUCCCAUCCCCUUAUCAGAAUAUUGCUCCCAACUGUGCCAACGUACAGUCGAGCUACCGACCACCUCCGCCCACUUAUCAAGUCCAAGCUCCAUUAUACCAGGACCCCCUCCCGAAUUACCAAGCUCCAAUGCCAAAUUUCCAGGCAAACCCUUAUCCCCGGAGCCAAGCCCCUCGUACAAAUACCCAAAAUUAUCAGCGGGUGCCUCCCCCUCGGCAAAGCAAUUAUGAUACUUCCCGUCCGAGAUCUGAAAAAAGGCCUUCAAGGAACUUUACCACACUUGCUGAAAGCCGGACCAAACUAUUUGAGAGGCUAGCCGCAGAUGGAUACAUCCACCCUGUGGGGCCCAAACCCGGGGAUGUCAACUCAAAGUUCUACAGGCCAGAUCAAAGGUGUGCUUAUCAUUCCAACAGUGUUGGACAUGACACGGAAGAUUGCAUCAACCUUAAGCACAAAAUCCAAGACCUGAUCGAUCAGGAGGUAGUUUCUCUUCAACCGGCGGUGCCAAACGUCAACACAAAUCCGUUGCCGAAUCAUGGAGGUGACAACCUUAAUAUGAUUGAAACGGAUGAAGACGGGUGUGGAACAAAGAUGAUUACCCCUAUUAUGAAUGAGGACUUGGAAAGGGCUGUCGCUUCUUUAAGCGUCAAAGAAAGGAGGAAGUUUGUUAUUCUGACACCUGCAAAGGCUGUUGCCUUGGUGCCUUCGAAAACCCUCGUUAAGCCCAAAUUUGUCAUUGAAACUGCCGUGGCCCAAGGCAUGACCAGGUCCGGAAGGUGCUACACUCCUGAUGAGCUUGCUCUCGGAGGACAGAAGAAGGACCAUGCUAAGAGGCCGAUAAGCGAGGGGGAAGCAGAAGAAUUCUGGAGAAGGAUGCAACCGAAGGACUAUUCCAUCGUCAAACAUUUAGAGAAGACUCCGGCUCAGAUCUCCGUGUGGGCCCUGCUGAUGAGCUCUCAGUCCCACAGGCAGGCCUUAAUGAAAGCUCUUGAUGAUACAUACGUACCCUCAGGUACAAGUAGUGAUAACGUGGCCGCUAUGAUUCAUCAAGUCAUUCGGGGGCACCGGAUCAGCUUUUGUGACGAUGAGUUGCCAGUCGAAGGAAGAUCCCACAACAAAGCGCUACACAUUACCGUGAUAUGUCGUGGAAAGGUUGUCAACUGUGUUUUGGUAGAUGAUGGGUCCGGUUUGAAUAUUUGCCCAUUGACGACGUUGAGGCAACUAAAUUUUGACCUUGGGAAACUGGAGCAGAAUCAGGUCAAUGUAAGGGCAUUUGAUGGUGUGCAAAGAGACACCUUAGGGGCUGUGACUUUGACCCUUCAAAUGGGCCCCGCAGAGUUCAGUGCGCAAUUCCAAGUAUUGGACAUAGACACUAGCUACAACCUUCUUUUGGGAAGGCCGUUUAUCCACAUGGCUGGAGCCGUCCCCUCUACUCUCCAUCAGAUGAUGAAGCUUGUGUGGAAAAAUGAAGAGUUAGUGAUUCACGGCGAGGGAAGUCGCUCGGGCAAGCAGGUGUCGGUCAUUGAUGAGAUGCCGCAAGGCGCAGACUUUUACACGGUGGAGCUGGUGAAUGCCACCAACGAAGAUUUGGCCCUCAACUCCAUGCCAACCGUGUACAAAAUGAUAGCCACGGUGAUGUUGCAAAAUGGGUUCGAGCCAGGUUUCGGAUUGGGAAGAGAUUCCCAAGGAAUUAUUGAGCCUGUUCCGGUCCUUGCUCAGGGAUCAAAGUAUGGUUUGGGGUACAUCCCCACAGAUGAUGAUAUGAAGAUGAAGAGGAGAAGGGAUCAAGAGUUGACUAAGCCGAUCCCGCAUCUCUAUCACUCCUUUCCAAUUCGGGAGCAUGCCGAGCCUGAAGACGACGGGGAAGGAAUCUGUGACCUGUUCAAGGAGAUCAAUGCCGUCAUAGAGGAGGAGGCCGAGCCAGCUGGCUUUCGCGAUGCUGAACCGGGGGAGAUGCUGAAGAAUUGGACGUCCACACCAAUCCUGAUGUCCCGGACUUUUGGGUAGAAAGGAAUUAUUUUGUGCAUGCCAAAAUCGGUGGUCGUUCGGAAGAGGCCCGAGACCCACCAUUUCUGCAUUUUCUUGAUUUUGAAUUUUGUUAUGAUUGUUUAAAGGGCGACGUGGCCUUGUGCCAUGACCCAACUUUGCAUCUUGAUUCAAUUUAAAUGAAAGCCUCCUUAUUUUGACUUUGUUUAUUCGAUUGCUUGUUAUGUUUUACUUUUCUAAUUUUGUCUGUUUAUGAUUUCAGUAACGUAAGUUACAAACCUGCCAACGUCAUGUCAUGUCAUGAGCUAAACGAACAAAAUGAGGUAAAUGACGAUGAGGCUGACGACUACGACGAAGAAAGUGGGGAACCAGACUAUGUAGUAGAAGAGUUUCGACAGUUCGAGAAUCAACAUAAACCGAAUCUGGAGGAAACAGAGACGGUAAAUUUGGGAGAUUCAGAAUGUGUCAAAGAGGUUAAGAUCAGCACUCACCUGAAUGAAACUCAGAAGGAGAGCCUGAUUCAUUUGCUUGCCGAAUACAGCGAUGUGUUUGUUUGGAAGGUCAGUGACAUGCAGGGGCUGAGUACCGAUGUCGUAUCUCAUAAGCUGCCUAUCAACCCAGGGUUCGAGCCAGUGAAGCAAAAGACUCGGAAAUUCAAGCCUGAGUUGAGUUUGAAGAUUAAGGAGGAAAUCACCAAGCAGAUAGAGUCCCGGUUGGUAGAAGUAACGCAAUAUCCCACCUGGUUGGCGAAUGUCGUUCCGGUCGCCAAGAAAGAUGGAAAAAUCAGGAUUUGCGUUGAUUACAGAGAUCUCAACAAGGCUAGUCCAAAGGAUAAUUUCCCGUUGCCAAAUAUCCAUAUUCUGAUUGAUAACUGUGCCAAACAUGAGAUGCAGUCAUUUGUGGAUUGUUACGCGGGUUAUCACCAGAUUCUGAUGGAUGAAGAAGACGCGGAGAAAACGGCCUUCAUCACACCUUGGGGGGUAUAUCACUACAGGGUGAUGCCGUUUGGGCUCAAAAACGCCGGUGCCACUUACAUGAGAGCCAUGACGACUAUCUUCCACGACAUGAUUCACAAGGAAAUUGAAGUGUACGUGGACGACGUCAUAAUUAAAUCCCGCGAGAGUUCGGAUCAUUUGACACACCUGCGAAAAUUCUUUGAACGUUUGCGUAGGUACAACUUGAAGCUAAAUCCCGCCAAGUGUGCUUUUGGAGUCCCAGCUGGGAAAUUGUUAGGGUUUAUAGUCAGCAGAAGAGGUAUUGAGCUCGACCCUUCCAAGAUCAAAGCAAUUCAGGAGUUACCUCCGCCGAAGACGAGAAAAGAGGUGAUGAGCUUCUUAGGGAGGUUAAACUAUAUCAGCCGUUUUAUAGCACAAUCGACGGUGGUAUGUGAGCCUAUCUUCAAGUUGCUGAAGAAAGAUGCCCCAACUAAGUGGACUGAGGAGUGCCAGACCGCUUUCGACGCUAUCAAGAGCUACUUGUCUAACCCACCAGUAUUGGUUCCUCCGCGAGAAGGGAGUCCUUUGUUGCUAUAUUUGUCUGUCUCGGAUAACGCCUUUGGAUGUGUACUUGGUCAACACGACGAGACAGGGAAGAAGGAAAAGGCUAUCUACUACAUCAGCAAGAAGUUUACUCCGUACGAGUCUCGUUACACUUUGCUGGAAAGAACAUGCUGUGCUCUGACAUGGCUUGCCCAGAAGCUGAGGCACUAUUGUCGUCGUAUACUACAUAUCUUAUCUCCAGAAUGGAUCCAUUGAAGUAUAUUUUCCGGAAAGCGAUGCCGACCGGGAAGCUGGCUAAAUGGCAAAUGCUGUUGAGUGAGUUUGACAUCGUGUACGUGACUCAGAAGGCAAUAAAAGCACAAGCUUUGGCUGAUCAUCUUGCGGAAAAUCCCGUUGAUGAAGAGUAUGAACCUCUCAAGACAUAUUUUCACGAUGAAGAAGUGUCAUUUGUGGGUGAAGAUAUCUCUGAAGUUUAUCCAGGUUGGAGAUUAUUCUUUGAUGGAGCGGUGAAUCACCAGGGUAAAGGUGUUGGAGCAGUCUUGGUAUCAGAAUCUGGUCAGCACUAUCCUAUGGCGGCUAAGCUACGGUUCAACUGCACAAACAACAUGGCUGAGUAUGAAGCUUGCAUUCUCGGUUUGAAAAUGGCCGUUGACAUGAAUGUUUACGAGUUACUGGUUAUUGGAGAUUCAGACCUCUUGAUCCAUCAAGUUCAAGGAGAAUGGGCUGUGAAGAACCCAAAGAUUGUACCUUAUGUACAAUAUGUGCAAAACCUGUGUAAAAGGUUUCGCAAGAUCGAGUUCAGACAUACUCCCCGAAUACAGAAUGAAUUAGCUGAUGCUCUUGCCACCAUCGCUUCAAUGAUCAAACAUCCGGAUAUUGAUUACAUCGACCCGCUGGAUAUAGAUUUGAAGGAGCAUCCAGUCCAUUGUUCACACGUGGAAUCAGAACCAGAUGGUUUGCCUUGGUAUUUCGACAUAAAGAGGUACUUGGAGUCUGGGACAUAUCCAGAAGACGCCACAUCUAAUCAAAAGAAGUCGAUACGUCGUAUGGCUCUCAAUUUCUUUUUGAAUGGAGAAGUCCUUUACAGGAGGACUCCAGAUUUGGGUCUUUUGAGAUGCGUGGAUGCUGCUGAAGCCGUGAGGCUUAUUGAACAGAUACAUGCUGGAGUCUGUGGCACACAUAUGAACGGGCUUACCUUGGCAAGAAAAGUCCUUCGAGCCGGUUACUUCUGGAUGACUAUGGAGAACGACUGUUGCAAAUUCGUGCAAAAAUGCCAUAAAUGUCAAGUGCACGGAGAUUUGAUAAGGGUGCCACCUCACGAACUCAAUGCUAUGAGCUCACCUUGGCCAUUUGUAGCUUGGGGAAUGGAUGUCAUCGGCCCUAUAGAACCGGUCGCUUCCAAUGGACACAGAUUUAUUUUGGUUGCCAUCGAUUAUUUCACCAAAUGGGUGGAAGCAGCCUCUUACAAAUCGGUAACCAAGAAAGUGGUGGCCGACUUUGUCCGCAACAAUCUGAUCUGCCGAUUUGGAGUUCCAGAAUCCAUCAUCACUGAUAACGGUGCAAAUCUCAACAGUCAUCUGAUGAAAGAGAUAUGUGAACAAUUUAAGAUUAUUCACCGAAGGUCAACUGCUUAUCGCCCUCAAAUGAACGGAGCUGUAGAGGCCGCCAACAAGAACAUCAAGAAGAUUCUGGGGAAAAUGAUUGACAAGCAGCGGGGUUGGCAUGAAAUGUUGCCAUAUGCUCUACUGGGUUAUCGAACGACGGUCAGAACAUCAACUGGGGCUACUCCAUACUUGCUAGUAUACGGAACAGAAGCAGUCGUACCUGUCGAAGUCGAGAUACCGUCACUGAGGAUCAUCCAAGAAGCUGAGCUAAGUAAUGCUGAGUGGGUUAGCAAACGGAUUGAUCAACUAGCCUUGAUUGAUGAAAAGAGGAUGGUUGCCGUUUGCCAUGGCCAGUUGUAUAGACAAAGAAUGACUCGCGCUUUUCACAAAAGAGUAAGAGCCAGAAAUUUUAAAGUUGGUCAGUUGGUUCUUAAGCGUAUUUUUCCUCAUCAAGACGAGUACAAAGGAAAGUUCGCACCAAACUGGCAAGGUCCUUACAUGGUCCGCAAAGUACUAUCUGGAGGUGCUUUAGUCUUGUCAGAGAUGGAUGGCGCUGUAUGGCCCAAACCUAUCAACUCAGAUGCUGUCAAGAGAUAUUACGUGUGAAGUUCGUUUUGCAUUUCCCACCAUUUACUUGUAAUCUUCUGUUUGCUUGUAUUGGUUCGAAUUUGAAUUCUUAUCCCUCUUGUAACGAACUACGUCUGACCUGAAUUCUCGAGAAUGAGAUACGUAGGCGGCCUAUGUCGGCUUCGGUCACCCCAUUUAUUCCCCUUGAUUAUUCCUUACGUUAGAACUACGUUUGACCUGAUUCCUGCCUCAACGGGAUACGUAGGCGCCACAACGGCUCGGUCAUAUACCCAGAAGAUUUCCAUUUCUCUCCAUAAUGGAAACUGGGACAGAAUUUUUGAGAGGAUCUCAAAAUUUCAUUUGAAGUAAGACUUCUUUAACAAGUCAAAACAGAAGACCAAAUUCUACGACCUGAACUACGUUCGACCUGAAUUCUCAAGAAUGAGAUACGUAGGCGGCCUUUGUCGGCUUCGGUCGGUUUCUUUGUAAAUUUUAUUCUUGUUAACCUUUAAAGGGGAACUACGUUUGACCUGAUUCCUGCCUCAACGGGAUACGUAGGCGCCACAAGGGCUCGGUCAUAUAUCUCGUAAAUUCUAUUCCCCCCUUCUACAAUAGAAACUGGGACAGAAUUUUGAGAGGGACUCAAAAAUUCUCCAGAAGGAACCUUCUCUUCAGCGGAUCAAACUAAAGACAUUUCGAAUUUGCGACUGGGACAGAAUUUUUAGAAGAUCUCAAAAAUUCCGAGAUCUGUUCGGUUACAAUGGAAAGAUGAACAAGAUACUAAACUGGGACAGAAAUUUUGAGGAUGGCCUCAAAAUUUCGUCAUGGGACUUCCCCACAAGUCUGGAAUGCCUCUGAAAUUCAUUCGACAAGCGUCGGACUCAAAGAAGCUCGUUAAGCCUGACAUGACAUGACUUGGCAUUGACUUUUUCGAGAUACUAUUUCUUAAAAAAUUUCUUGCUUCUCUUAAAAAUUUCCCUUUUAUAUUUCAUCUGUUUUGGCAUAAGAUAUUUUCUUAUCUAUCAAGAGUCGAGAAAUCGGGAAAUCAACCGAGGACGUCAAGACAAGGAGCAAACAAUCGAAGGGAUCGACACAGAUCAGUAUGUUUAAAACUGACAAUUUUUCUGUGGAUGCAGGUUUAUAGCUUCACUUCGAAAUCGGCCGAAUUCUUCCGACUGAUGAAUACGGAGAAGGCGAAAACUAUUUCCAAAGCCGGUGAUUUUAUUGAAAGCAAGAAGCAUUUCAUAUCUUUAUGCCAAGAUGCUUGUGAAUGUGUUUGUUUAUUUCAAGCCGUUCCCCAAUACAUGAAAUUUACAAAGUGCCUGGCCAGAUUCAAAGGUGGAUCAAAAAGGAAUCUUAGCGAAGAUUUCACGAUUUCUAUAGAAGACGCUAUUUGCAUCGCGUUAUCAAAGCAAGAUGAUUAUUGUCGAUCAAGACAAUGCAUUACCUCAGAAGAGACAGCUAUGCAAUUAUUAUUUUUAUCAUUAUCGAUCAAGUCGAUAUAUUAUUUGGAGGUCGUCUUGCCGUUAUUAUUCACGGGGGCAAUAUAAAUAAUCAUGCAUGACGAGAAGAUUUCAUGCCUCGUCGAAAUUUAUACAUCGCGAGAAGAAUUUAUGCCUCGCUGGAAUUCAUGCAUCGCGGAGUCAUGCAUCGCGAAAAUCAUGCAUCGCGAGUCAAUAAUCAUGCAUGACGAGAAGAUUUCAUGCCUCGUCGAAAUUUAUACAUCGCGAGAAGAAUUUAUGCCUCGCUGGAAUUCAUGCAUCGCGGAAUCAUGCAUCGCGGGAAUCAUGCAUCGCGAGUCAAUAAUCAUGCAUGACGAGAAGAUUUCAUGCCUCGUCAAAAUUUAUACAUCGCGAGAAGAAUUUAUGCCUCGCUGGAAUUCAUGCAUCGCGGAAUCAUGCAUCGCGGAAAUCAUGCAUCGCGAGUCAAUAAUCAUGCAUGACGAGAAGAUUUCAUGCCUCGUCAAAAUUUAUACAUCGCGAGAAGAAUUUAUGCCUCGCUGGAAUUCAUGCAUCGCGGAAUCAUGCAUCGCGAGUCAAUAAUCAUGCAUGACGAGAAGAUUUCACGCCUCGUCAAAAUUUAUACAUCGCGAGAAGAAUUUAUGCCUCGCUGGAAUUCAUGCAUCGCGGAAUCAUGCAUCGCGAGUCAAUAAUCAUGCAUGACGAGAAGAUUUCAUGCCUCGUCAAAAUUUAUACAUCGCGAGAAGAAUUUAUGCCUCGCUGGAAUUCAUGCAUCGCGGAAUCAUGCAUCGCGAGUCAAUAAUCAUGCAUGACGAGAAGAUUUCAUGCCUCGUCAAAAUUUAUACAUCGCGAGAAGAAUUUAUGCCUCGCUGGAAUUCAUGCAUCGCGGAAUCAUGCAUCGCGGAAAUCAUGCAUCGCGAGUCAAUAAUUAUGCACGACGAGAAGAUUUCAUGCCUCGUCAAAAUUUAUGCACGACGAGAAGAAUUCAUGCCUCGUCAAAGUUUGCACAUCGCAAGAAGAUUUUAUUCUUCGCUGAAAGUUAUGCAUCGCGAGAAGAUUCAUAUCUCGCGAGAAUUUACGUAUCGCGGGAAGAUAUUCAUGACCCGCAAGAAGACGUACUUGGAUAAAGAAAGAGCAAUACUUAUCCAUUGGCCUCGACUGCAUUAUGUUAUUUCUUAUAAAAAUAAACAUCAUGGAGAGCAUCGAAGAUGACAACAAAAGAAACAUCAAUAUCGCAUCAGCAUUUAUUUAUUUAUUUUGACAGCAAGUAUGGAAUACACUGAAGAUGAUAUUGCAAAACACAAGGCAUAAGCUUUAUUUGCUGGACGUCAGACCGAUCGAGUCGACGUCGAACAUGGAGGAGAACAAUGAAGUGUCGACAUGGUAAAAGACACUGUCUCCCAUCCUAAUUGCAUUUUUAAGCUGACGAGUUUUAUCUCAGUCUUUGUCGAGAGCAUCCAAAAGGAUGAAUUCUCCAAAAACCACAGGUGCGGACGACAUCAAAAAGGAUGCAGCACAACGUGGAACUUUUUCUUAGCAGCGAACUGGGACACAGUCCAAAGAGGAGUGUCAAACUCUUAGGACGCGAGCAGAGGAGCGACUUCCACCACAAUCGAAACACCCUCUCGAGGCAUACGAGUUUUCUCUAGUCCUGUCAAUUUCUGUCUCGCUUCCGAAAGUUUUGUUUUAUCGGAAGCAAGUUUCCAAUCUGAGUGACAAUACGCCAAAAGAUUUGGAAAUUAUGUCCGUGUAAGUUCUUAAUUAUGGAUGUGAAGCGCGCCACAUUCAUGGCUAAGAGGUUACAAGCCUCUUUUUCAUACUCGUUUAAUGUGUCACUCGUCCAAAACCGAAGGUUAGCUAGCAUAAUAGUUUUCCUUUUCCAACGAUCGAGUCGAACUACACACAGCCUGAUUCCGAAGGUUUAAGGGUAUGUAGGCGGAUUCAAUGUUGAAAACUCAGCUGUAUUCCAACAUUCGCUCUCGAAUUCUAUUCUCGAGCAUUUCGAUACCUUCAUAAUUCGGUGUCAAGGUGGCUUUUGAUUCUUUGAAAUCGUGCGGUAAAUCAAGCUUAUCGAACUACAAGUGGCCUGAAUUCUCAUAUAGCCUGAGGUAUGUAGGAGACCCGUUUGCAAGGGUUCGGCCAUAAUUCCUAAACUCUUUGACAAAUCCUUCUUCCUGAAGGCGAGUGGAGUUGGUCAAAAUUGGUUCGGUCAACUUCAUUUUCCUCGAGUUGCUUGCAUCCACCCAAGUAAAAUGAGGGACAGUUGUUGACACCCAAUUUUGACCCGCGUCGGUAUGAGUUAGUUAGUUUUAUAAACCUUGCGAAAAUAAAUAUAUGUACAUAUAUACAUAUAUGUAUAUACAUAUAUGUAUAUGUAUAUAUGUAUAUCUUGAACCCAUUCCUUUACCCAUCAGCCCACUCUUAUUCCGAGGCCCACUUUCGUCCUCAACCCAUUUUGCCUAAAUUCCUUACACCCAAUAUUCCCAACAGCCCACAGACUCAAGGCCCAAUUCCCCCCAGACGCCCAUCCUCUUCAACCCAGUCCAACAUCCCCUUUUAUUUCUUUUAAAAAAUACCAACCCAACACACAUUUUUAAAACAAGCCCAACAAAUUAAUCCCAACACCCAAUUCUUUUAUUCUCCAGCCCAACCCAAUUCACCAUAACCCAUCCUACCCGACCCAGAACCCAUCCUACCCGACCCGACCCGUUCCCCUUUCCUUCUUCUCCCCUCACCCCACGCGAACCCAGCAAAACAGAAAGCCAAAAUUCCCAAACAAUUCCCAGAUGCGCAGCCACGCGACCCCCUCCCCACGCUCUCUCCUCGCUCUCUCCCUUCCUCUUAUCCUCUCCCCGCGUCUCCCCCACGCUCGCUCUCUCCUUCCCCUCUCGACAAAAACCCAUAAUUCCCCAGAAAUCACGCGAAAAACAGAGAGACUCCAACAACCCCACGCUCUUCUCCUUCCAUCUUUCUCUUCGCGUGAACCAAACGGAAGCGCAGAGACCCAUACGCUGUCGAGUAGGUCUGCGAGGUGUCAAUUUCAUCCUCUCCAACACGCCUGUGCCAUGUGAAGUUUGACCGAAACGGGAUUUAGUUUCGAUUUCAAAAGGAGAAAAGGGGGGCUAUUUCUUCUCCUCUAUAAAUACCCCUUUUCUUCAUCAGAAAAGGGGUGAGAGAUUUUUUCAUCGAAAAAUUCGGAAAAGCAGAACUUGGAGCGCUGGGAAUUUUGGGAGUUGAAAGAAUGUUAGAUAUUUGAGAUUUUUGAAAAAGAAAAGAAAGACACAGAAAAGGGUUAGGGAUUUUGGUUGAGAAAAUUUUCGAAAAAAAAAGACUCUGCUUCUUCCGUCUCUUGUUAGGAAAUUUUGGGUUGGGAACGUUGUUUGAAAUUCUGGGUUUAUUCCAUUGUUUCUGAGAUAACCAAAAGAAGUUAGAAAAUUUGGUUAGAAAUUCUGGUUUAGGAAGACUUUGAAGAAGAUUUCUUCCUGUCCUGUUCGUGUAGCAAAACAGUCGGGAUUUUUCGGGAAUAGGACUCCAAUACGAAGAACAAACGAGAUAAACGUCUAGCCGUGGGUCGCGUGGGGAAGUCAUCGUCGUCUGCUCGCCGUCAUCCCUGUUCCGCUGCUCCGAGAAAGGUACAUGUCCCAUUUUUCUUUAUUAUUUUAAAUUUUCUUUAUGGAGUUGAGUCGUGGUUUGUGGUGCUGUCAACAUGAGGUAUCAUAUUUCGUUUGGUUGUUUAAGUCUGGAAUAUGUCUUACGUUGUGAUUCUGUCCCAAUGUGAUGGUUCGUCGACAUUGCUUCUCUGUUUGUCUUCACGAGUUAGUCAUGACUUUGUAUUUGUUUCGAGGAGCCUUCGCCGUAUGACAUGUGAUGUUUGUUAAUCGACUUGCUGGCCCUUUCUUAGUUUGUGGUCGAACAUGUUGAGAUACUCGAAAAUGUGAAUAUACAUGGUCGGUUGAGCUUGUCUUUGUGGUUUGUUAACACUGUCGCUGCUUUGCUUGCCAUUUAGAACUUUCAAUAUAUGCUAGCUUAAUCUCGUAGAACACUAUUUAUUCGUCACAUGAUUGGAAUGAGAUUGUUAAGACAUAUUGGCAAGAGCUUCUGUGAAAUGACUCAUUAAUCCGAGUAUCGAUGUCUAUUCGUUAAAGCAGGCUCUUGGAUUGUUUGUAUGCAUGUAUGUAUGUUUAGAGUGUAAUUUUCCCUUGUUGUCUCGUCCAAGCUUGCUCAUGAUGUCUAUCUCGCGGGAGUUGUAGUUGUAAGCUUCUUUUCAAUCGAACCUUCUUCAAGCUUUUGGUUCGAGUAUCGCUUUAAGAAUAUAUGAGGGUUGUUUAUUCUCUAUAAUGUAUUUAUCUCCCAAACUUGUUAUCUUGUUUAGAUAUCAUGUUUGUCAGGCGUCUUGCAUGAAAGUUUCGUUUUGUAUGCCGUAUGGGUGGUGUGGAUUUUGGAAAUCUGUGGUUUGAAAGGCCAUCUUUAUCUUGGUGGCCACUUGUGUUAGCUGUCCGAGGUCACAGCCAUGUAGUAGGUCGAUUGAAUGGUCCUUUCGCUUAGUGUGUUAGAUGUUUGGGUGAUAAGGUGAUCGGGAUCCUGUUUUAUUUGAUGAGGCUGUCCUCUUAUGAUUGGUUCAAGUUUGUUUCAAAUGUUUGAAGCGCAAAACGGCUAAUUGAUACUCAAUUUAUGAUGCAUCUCUAUUUGUAUUCGUUAUUUAUCCCAUGCUAAGUCCUUUCUUUAAAUAUAAAAUUUGGAAAUUACCAACAAUUUUGUGUGAAGGUUUCACUACACUUGGGGUUUCGCCGCACAGUUUACGUAUCGUUAUGUAGUGUCAUUUAGGUUGACUGAUUUGCAUAUCUCUAAGUACCAUUAAGGUUGUUGGAUGUUGGCUUUGCUUCUCAUGAAGAUUUAAUUAGUAUUGCAUUAUAAAGAUAUCCUUGUUAUGCUUUAGAACCUUGCUUAUUCUAAUUGUAGUUUUAAAAAUGCCAAUCUUCAUUUUAUCGUUUUUUUUGUGACAUGUGAAAACUCCCCGUGAGUCCAUUAUGGGAAUCCCAUUAUCCUCCUCGCAUUUCGAGAGAGUCUUGAAGACUCUGAACUUUAUCGAGUCAAUUCAUCAAAACGAGCAAGUGUAGAAAGACAAGGGUCAUGGAGAUUGAAGACGAUGGACUAAAAGACUUUUCUUUCGUUUUAUUUUACUUUGCAUAUUUUGUAAUGGGCCUAAGCCCUCUUGUCGUUUUUUUGUUUUCUAUAUUAUGUUUGUAUGUUUAGAUUAGGACAGGUACAGAAAUGGGCUAAAAAACCCAAAGGCAGGUGGGUCCAACAUUCGGUCAAGGAUAACAGAACCCGGAGUUGGACCCAAAUCUCUCUCUCUCUAUCCUUCUCUUUACUAUUUGCUUAUCUUAUUUUGUUUUCAAUGCCGUUAGCUUAGGAUUAGGAAACUCCAAACCCUCAUCGAACGCCUGUUAUUUUAUCAAACCUAAAAAUUUUUAAAACUAACUUCUAAAUGAUAAAUUGUUUCAAAUUCGUAAGGCUUGUUUAGAUAAAACCUUGAGUAAGCUUAACUUUGAAAUGGUUUCGUAAACUGGCAAGAUAAACAAUAAAUAUUUCAAAAUUGGCUAAGUUUGGCUAAGUAAGUCAUGUUAAAAGUUCAAAUAAAUUUGCAAAGGUUAAAAAUAAAAAUAAUCAAAUAGUUAAUCAUUGGAAAACCGUAAGUUAACGGAGUGUUUUGGGUGCCUUACACCUUCCUAAGAUACUAAUAGGAAUCCCGAACCCUUAAAAUGUUUCAAAACAAUUUUUUCUGUUUAAGUUGUUUAGAAACGAAGUUUUCUUGAUUUUUCUUAAAAAUUAAGUGGCGACUCCUAAAAGUCUAAAAACAAACUCUUUUCGAAAAUCACCACCCUUUUUCGAU